CAGUAGCCGCGGGAAUACGUAGGGUGCGAGCGUUAAUCGGAAUUACUGGGCGUAAAGCGUGCGCAGGCGGUUCGUUAAGACAGAUGUGAAAUCCCCGGGCUUAACCUGGGAACUGCAUUUGUGACUGGCGAGCUAGAGUAUGGCAGAGGGGGGUAGAAUUCCACGUGUAGCAGUGAAAUGCGUAGAGAUGUGGAGGAAUACCGAUGGCGAAGGCAGCCCCCUGGGCCAAUACUGACGCUCAUGCACGAAAGCGUGGGGAGCAAACAGGAUUAGAUACACCAGUAGUCCCUGUCUCUUAUAC
Molecule: ribosomal RNA, 301 nt
Filed under: uncultured bacterium
Lineage: Bacteria
Description: partial 16S ribosomal RNA
Rfam family: Bacterial small subunit ribosomal RNA
Source: RNAcentral